CAGUAGCCGCGGUAAUACGAAGGGGGCUAGCGUUGUUCGGAUUUACUGGGCGUAAAGAGCAUUAAGGCGGUUUCUUAAGUGAGAGGUGAAAGGUUCAGGGCUUAACCCGAACACUGCCUUUCAUACUGGGAGACUUGAGUACGGGAGAGGCGAGUGGAAUUUCUGGUGUAGCGGUGAAAUGCGUAGAUAUCAGAAGGAACACCCAUGGCGAAGGCAGCUCGCUGGUCUGUAACUGACGCUGUAGUGCGAAAGCGUGGGGAGCAAACAGGAUUAGAUACCCGCGUAGUCCCUGUCUCUUAUA
RNAcentral lists this ribosomal RNA (301 nucleotides) under uncultured bacterium. Its description in RNAcentral is "partial 16S ribosomal RNA". It matches the Rfam family "Bacterial small subunit ribosomal RNA", at positions 509 to 808 of the family's 1533-position model. The record is from RNAcentral.